This 20-nucleotide unclassified non-coding RNA is filed under the name Dictyostelium discoideum. The record is from RNAcentral. Lineage: Eukaryota; Evosea; Eumycetozoa; Dictyosteliales; Dictyosteliaceae.
AUGAUCUUGCUAAACCAAAC